GGGGGUGUACCGGUUUCGACGGGUAUAAUCUAGGAUAUUAACUGCAGGUAAGGCUUUCUGUCCUUUGAACAGAUACAUUUUAUAACUGCCAAAAAAGAAGAUGACUUCGUUGUUGACUUCCCCGGAAGCAACAAAAAGCAGUUUGCUUUAGCAGCGUAAGCUCGCUUUAGCCGGAAACAGAUUGGUGCCGCUCUGAACGAAUCUGAUUUUCCGUUGCCAACCGGAGCUUGCUGUGUGUGCAUUUUUGCGGCAUGCACGGGACUUUUGCAAAAUACGGAGCCGACGCUUUCGGUGUUGCUACCGGUUCCCGACAACUACCUCGCACCGAUAAACCUGUAGACGUUUCUGUUCAGUAUGCUCGGACGGGAGUUCGAUUCUCCCCAUCUCCA
Molecule: transfer-messenger RNA, 389 nt
Filed under: Treponemataceae bacterium
Lineage: Bacteria; Pseudomonadati; Spirochaetota; Spirochaetia; Treponematales; Treponemataceae
Rfam family: transfer-messenger RNA
About the family: Bacterial tmRNA, also known as 10Sa RNA or SsrA, is named for its dual tRNA and mRNA-like properties. Its role is to liberate the mRNA from a stalled ribosome.
Source: RNAcentral